GAGUUUGAUCCUGGCUCAGAACGAACGCUGGCGGCGUGCCUAACACAUGCAAGUCGAACGUGAUCCAGAGCUUGCUCUGGUGAAAGUGGCGCACGGGUGAGUAACGCGUGGAUUACCUACCCUGGUAUCCGGGAUAACAUUCCGAAAGGGGUGCUAAUACCGGAUAAGCCCACGGGCUCUUUGGAGCUUGCGGGAAAAGGUGGCCUCUAUUUAUAAGCUACUGUAUCAGGAUGGGUCCGCGUACCAUUAGCUAGUUGGCGGUGUAACGGACCACCAAGGCGACGAUGGUUAGCUGGUCUGAGAGGAUGAUCAGCCACACUGGAACUGAGACACGGUCCAGACUCCUACGGGAGGCAGCAGUGGGGAAUUUUGCGCAAUGGGGGAAACCCUGACGCAGCAACGCCGCGUGAGUGAUGAAGGCCUUUGGGUCGUAAAGCUCUGUCAGAGGGGAAGAAAUGAUAUAGUGCUAAUACCACUUUAUCUUGACGGUACCCUCAAAGGAAGCACCGCCUAACUCCGUGCCAGCAGCCGCGGUAAUAC
RNAcentral lists this ribosomal RNA (540 nucleotides) under uncultured Geobacteraceae bacterium. RNAcentral describes it as "bacterial SSU rRNA". It matches the Rfam family "Bacterial small subunit ribosomal RNA", at positions 9 to 526 of the family's 1533-position model. Lineage: Bacteria; Pseudomonadati; Thermodesulfobacteriota; Desulfuromonadia; Geobacterales; Geobacteraceae. The record is from RNAcentral.